UAUACAACCAAUAAUAAACUUCCUAAACAACAAUGGAGCACCACUUCUUGCUAAUGUGUAUCCGUACUUCGCUUAUAUUGGUGAUAAGGUAAACAUUCCUCUUGACUAUGCUCUUUUUAGACAACAAGGAAACAAUGCAGUUGGUUACCAAAACCUCUUUGAUGCCCAAUUAGACUCAGUAUACGCCGCUCUUGAAAAAGUUGGCGCUUCCGGUGUUAAGAUAGUUGUGUCUGAGAGUGGGUGGCCAUCUGCUGCUGGAGAUAGUGCCUCAACUGACAAUGCUGCCACAUAUUAUCGUAAUUUGAUCAAUCACGUCAAGAAUGGGACUCCUAAGAGACCCGGAGCAAUUGAGACUUACUUGUUUGCCAUGUUUGAUGAAAAUCAGAAGACUGGUGCAGCAACUGAACAACAUUUUGGUCUCUUUAAUCCUGACAAAUCACCUAAAUAUCAAAUAAGCUUCAAUUGAAUAAAUUGAUAAUCUAAGAAUGAUAUGCAAUAGCUAAAUAUUGUUCACUACAAAUAAUUGUGCCAUGUGUGCACAGGUUGUUUCCAUCUUUCUGUGUAUGUAAUGAAUUAAGUAAAGGUUAGGAGGUUGGACAAUCUUUAAUGUCAUUUAAGUACAUUUGAAUUGAAAUUUUCGGUGUCAUGAAGGGAAAUCGAAGAAAAGGGAAAUCCUCUUCUAUAUAUAAGUAAAAUAUUUUAUCUGGUUCAUUGCUUAAGAUCAUAGUUCGUCCGAGUUGUUGUUCACGAAGUCAAUAUGUAGUAUUGUUUAUAUCAUUCCAUAUAUAUAUGAUCAAGUUCAAAGCAUUCACCUAAAAAACUUAUUCACUAGAUCAAUUAUUUGUACAAGGAUCAACAUCAUAUCCUUAAUAAUUAAAGCAUCAAAGUCCAAUCCGCUAACUUAAUCAUCUGUCAAAUCAACUCAUUUCCGAACAUUUCUUCUACAUUAAUUUCUCUGGACCAAGUGAAUUGCAAAGGAGUCAAAAGUUCUUAAAGAUUUGAAGACAACAAUUGACUGAAGACAUGAACACAAACUUUAUAAGCCAAAUACAAAGAAAUGGUUGUACAAAUAUGAUUUCUCUUCUAAAAAGACAGAGAUAGCUAGAACAAACUACCAAUGAGAGGUACAAUCCAGAGGAGCCCACCAAACAACUAUUAUAGUUGUGCUCUCAAUAUAUUUUCUUACUAUUCAUAAAAAUGAUAGAGAAAGGCCCUUUAAAAGAAGAUUAAUUGGUAAAAGAAUAAAAAAUAAAACAAUCACCUUUAUAUGAUGUUGAAAACACUUACCUAAUGCCUAUUGGAGUUUACAAGGAGGGUAUAUAUAGAUUCAACUUAUUAUUACCAUUAGAAAAAACCAAGAUUAAAUGAAUCACGGUUAGACUUUAUAAGCCUGUUUUCAUUUUCCGGGUAAAAAUGAUUGGUUGGAUUUGAAAUUUCUUGAUUUUUACAUAGAUGAGCCAUAUAUAGUUAAGAGCAAUGUUAUUUGAACAACCUUUUUAUGUGACAAUUUGUUGGACAACCAUAUUAUACAAAGAAAUUUAGGUAGUGACACAAAUAUCAAAGCAAUAGAGAGAGAAAGUAGAAGAACAAUGUGUGUAUGAGAGAGAAAGUUAUCACAAAAAUUAUCAAAAAGUGGUUGUUCAAAUAUCAUUUCUCUAUAGUUAAAUGUUUCUCCAAUAUGUUCCCCUCAAAAAAGGUUUCUGCUCUCGCCACAUUCAAGUUGGUACGGAUAAACUAGUUGAUGGAUACACAUUUAAGUGAAUUAACUUAUAUGCAAAGAAAAGUCUCAAACAAGUGUGAUAAUUAUCUAUGAAAGUAAUGAGAGAGAUGACACCGGACACAAUAUUAACACAAACACAUUGAUAAAUGUAAUUUAUAUUUUAAAAAUUAAAUUAAUUGAAUAUAAUCAUAUGUGCUAUGACACAGAUGGAAGCAAAGUUUAGCAAUCUCUAAAUCUAGAAUGAUAAACAGACAAAUUGCAAACAACAAACCUGUCAAUUAGUUAGAAUCCACCAGAAAAUUAAGAAAUGUUCUCAGUAAUUUUAUUGAAUCAAAAACUACCCCUUAAACUACAAAUGUUAAACUUAAAUACUAGGGAAAUAACAAAAACCCUAAUGGGUUGAAAAUCCAAACAGAAAACAAUAGACAAAUAAUAAAAUUGGGCUGAAAUAAUAAAUUCCGGUUUUGAGCCUUCAGAUGAACUCAAAUGGCUUAAAAUUCUCAUGCAUCAUGGCAAAGCGAUUUGUUCUACUCUAGGGCCGAUUCCCUUUCCGAAAAGGUAUAUUAAUAGUCAAUCGGACACCUAAUAUCAAAUCUGCACUAUUCUCAUUGAACUCUUCUUAUGUGUCACUUCGUCUUCAAUAUGUGAUCUUCCUACAUCAUGCUAGUAUCAUACAUGUGUCAAACAAUGACAUAUGUCGAACACCAGACACACCUUUUAUUAGAAGUGUGAGUAAUAAAAUAUUGACUUCUUAUGAGUUCCUAUCACUUACAAACAAUCACAUGUAUCUGUCACAUCAUCUUAAUUACGUCACCUUAGUUAGCUCCAUAGACUAAAUUCAAAUUUUGGACGUACUGAAUAAGUUAUAUAAUCAAGAAUGUUUCCUUUCCUUCACGUAGUUAAGCUGGCUGACUAGUAUACAGAAUCAAUGGCGGCUGAUUAACAUUAGUCUUUUAUGCAUUAGGCAGGCCAUCAUUCAACAAAUAUAUGCAUUUUCACCAGAAAAAUGGUUAGAAUUCAGAACCAUAGCAUUAAUUUCUUUGAGCAAUUGACGGGCUAAAAGUCUUCCUAAUUAGAGCACUAUCCAUCAAUUAACACAAAAUGUUAUGCAUAUAAAUAUGGACUAGCAGGUCGAAUAAAGAUAUCAGUUUAUACUUUGAUAUAAUUCAAGCAAUACACUCUUGAAAAGAAACUCUUCGAUCAUGUCUAUCAUUUUUCUGCUUGUUGGUAUACUGUCCAUUGGACUAAAAUUAACAGGUCUAUAUAUACCUCUCCCUUAUCAUAUACUAUAUGUUAUGUUGUAUUGCUUUAUAUUUGUCUUGUUUGCAUAUGUUUCAAUUGCAGUGGUUUGUCCGCGUUAGCUCAGUUGGUAGGGACAAUCCAUAAUAUAUGUAAAGUUUGGGUUCAAACCUCAACCACCACAAAAUAAAUUACAGUGGGUUUAACUAUGAGGACAUUUUAAAAUCCCGGGUCGCCAUAUUUAAUUUCCCUCUCUCUGAAUGUUUUGAGUAUGACUACUAUACCAAUGCCAAAAGCAAUAUAGAAUUGUUUGCAUGUAUUUUUUUUUAAAGGAAAUUGUUUACAUAUAUGCUUAUGCACUGUUUUUUUUAUGAAAAUAUAUUUAUUCACUCUAUACAUUUUUCUUCUUCUUUAGAGUUAUCCACUCUAUACAUAGUCAAUAGUAUGCGUGUUAUAGUAUUUUGAAUAUGUGUGCUAUUUUAUGUUGAAAGAAUAAUUAACUUUAAUUUAUAAUUUUUUUUUUCAAAAGGUCCAUAAAAAGUUAUUAAGUAACCAAGUCAAUUAAAAACAAUUUACUAAAAAAAAGUCAAUUAAUAAAAAUAAAAAUUAUAUUUAAGCAAAUAAUAGUUUCAACAUAUUCUUUUAUUUGAAAGAUAGUUUCAUCAUAUUGUUUUGUUAUCAUUGUAUUUAUUCAUAUUUUUCUAUAAAUUGUAUAUAGAUCGUUAAAUAUAUUUUUAGUCCAAUAAAAUUAUAAUUUUUUAGUUUAGUUUUUGCAUAAAUUUGGUCCAAUUUUAAUUCUAUUAUAAUAAACAAAAAAAGCUGUGUGAACAAAGUUAUGUAGAAAGUAAACUUAAAAAUUUACAAUUUUUAUACGAAUUUAAAAUAUAUUUAAGGAAAAUGCUGGUUGUCCCGAUAAAAUGAAUCACGAAACUGUCCGACCGUUUGAAACACAAAUGCAUUUAUUGCUGCUGACAUCAUGUUUGGUAAGUGGAAGCAGUUUUUUUUUUUUUUUUUGGAAUCAAAGCAAUAUCCAAUCGGGAAGCUUUUGGAUAUAUUUCAUCGGGAUAUAUGGCAUCCCUCUGUAUUUAAUCCUUAUGUUUGUAGAUUCUAUCAUAUUAGGCAGCCAUACCUAAUCCUAAUGUGGAGGCCUCGCCCCUAAGGAUGUGUAACCUAUUAAGGACAAGGUCCAAAAUAUUAUUUCUCUAAUGACUUACAAUAGUUCAUUAUUAUAUGCAGCUGUGGAAUCCAUAGGAGUUUGCUAUGGGAUGAUUGGAAAUAAUCUACCAUCUAGGCAAGAUGUUGUGAAUUUAUAUAGAUCAAGAGGCAUUAACCAAAUGCGUCUUUACUUCCCAGAUGAACAAGCCCUCCAAGCCCUUAGAGGUUCCAACAUAGAGUUGAUCCUUGAUGUGGCUAGGGAAACCCUUAAUUCUCUUAGAAAUGCCAAUGAAGCCACAAAUUGGGUCAAUAGAUAUGUGAAACCCUAUGCUCGAGAUGUUAAAAUCAAGUACAUCACUGUCGGAAAUGAAAUUAAACCUUACGACAGUGAAGCACAAUCCAUUCUCCCUGCCAUGCAAAACAUUCAAAAUGCUAUUUCAGCAGCCAAUUUACAGGGACAAAUCAAGGUCUCAAUAGCAAUUGACAUGACUUUGAUUGGUAAUUCAUAUCCACCCAAUAAUGGUGUUUUCACUGACCAAGCAAAACCAUACAUACAACCAAUAAUAAACUUCCUAAAGAACAAUGGAGCACCACUUCUUGCCAAUGUGUAUCCGUACUUCGCUUAUAUCAAUAAUAAACAAAGCAUUUCUCUUGAUUAUGCUCUUUUUAGACAACAAGGAAACAAUCAAGUUGGUUACCGAAACCUUUUUGAUGCCCAGUUAGAUUCAGUAUACGCUGCUCUUGAGAAAGUUGGCGCUUCCGGUGUGAAGAUAGUUGUGUCCGAGAGUGGGUGGCCAUCUGCAGGUGGAGAUAGUGCCUCAACGGACAACGCUGCCACAUAUUAUCGUAAUUUGAUCAAUCACGUCAGGAAUGGGACUCCUAAGAGACCCGGAGCUAUUGAGACUUACUUGUUUGCCAUGUUUGAUGAAAAUCAGAAGACUGGUGCAGCAACUGAACAACAUUUUGGUCUCUUUAAUCCUAACAGAACACCUAAAUAUCAAAUAAGUUUCAAUUGAUAAUCUAAAAAAGCUAUGUAGCUAACUAAAUAGUUUACUACGAAUAAUUGUGUCAUGUGUGCACAUGUUGUUUCCAUCUUUCUAUGUCUGUAAUGAAUUAAAUAAAUGAAAUAUCAUAUAUCUUGUUUACUUAUGUAAUUCCCCCAUUAUAUUUUAGUUUGUGUUUGAUGUCAUGGUGGAAAACAUCAAACUUGUGGAGUAUGCAAAUAUUUAGGGUUUACCCUUAUGAUCUUUCCAACUGUAAGCAUGUUGGGUAAGUUGCAUAUCUAUCGACUGAGAACCAUAAUUAUUGAUCAAAGUAAAGAUCUUCAUAUUAUUAAUAUCACAUGUUUCUAAAUACUUCUCAUAUUUUUCAUCUUUUUAUUUGUUGGCUUAAUAGAGGUUCUAUAUAUCGAUAUAACUGCAUUUUCUUUCCUUUUAACUUUUUCAUUACAUAGUUCUGAUAAACACUAAUUUUACGCAUUUAAUUGGACACUAAUAUAUUGUAGAGAGUUUUAUGUGACCUAAGUGUACCAAGCAAGGACAAUAGUAAAAUACACAAAUGAAGAAGAACCGUAAAGAAUAGAAUACCCAUUGUAGAAUAUAUCAAGCAACAUAGAACCAUAAAUAGAAGCUGCGGAAAAUCGCAACACAAGCCGUGACCAAAACUAAUACAAAAGCAAAUCACCAAAGCACGUCGAAAAAACUAAAAGUUGUGCCAGAAAAAAGACCACAAACGAUUUUAAUGUGGAGUAACAUGAUUUCAAAAUGUUUAAUUUUUUUAAAUUACUUAUGGGUCUAGCUAACAAUUGUUCUAAGAAAAUUUGUUAAGAAAGCAAAAGAUAGACAUUUUGCACCAGAAACAACAAUAUUUAACUUCUUAAAAGUUGAAUAAUGCUGAAAGGACACUCUUUAAUAACUUCUUUUAGUAUUAUUCCAUUAACUAAAUUUAAAAUAUUUGAUUUAAAAAUUACUUUAAAUAUAUUAAAGAUCGAUAUCAUGAAAUAAUAUGUGUAAUUUUUUUUGGCUUAAAUGCAAUUUUGAUCCUCAUAUUUUCAAAAUUGUUAACUUUUGACAUCCCAUUUUUCAAAACAAACUUUCUCAUCCCUUAGUUAGAAAGUCAACAAAAAAUUUUGGUCCCCCUCCUUUUUGGAUGAUGUGAUAAGCCCAUUAAUGACGUGGAUCCUAUGUGACAUUGUGUAUAUGACAAAUCUUUUGACAUAUUAUAUCCACUUCAUUAAAAUUUAAAUAUAAUCAUAAAAUUAAAUAACAAAUUAAUAUUAAAAUAAAAAAAGAAUUGGAGAAUAAAAUUAUACCCUAAACUAAUAUUUUAUUCCCAAAUUGAAAAGAAAAAAAAUCCUAAAUUGAAGGACACAAAGAACAUAUCCUUCGAUUUUUAAGUAGGUAUAAAUAAAACGUUGACGCCUCCUUUUCAGACUCUCUUGACAGGAUAUGUAUAAGAAUCUACAUUAGAGAUGACAAGACUAAUUGGUGAUAAAACAAUCACCUAUAGACGAUGUUGAUGAUGUCGUAAACUCUAACCUAAUGGAGAUUAUGAGGAGGUUAUAGGUUAAAUUUUCCCACUAACAAAAAUAACAAUUAUUAUUUACCAUUUAAAAAACCAAGGUUAAUGAAUCACAUGAAGACAGUUAAACUAUAUAAACUAGUUUUUUUGGGUAAAAAUGAUCGGUUAGACUUGAAAAAUCUAGAUUUAUAUAUAGAUGAGGGCUCCAUGUAGUUAUAAGUUUCUCUAAACUAAAAUGGCCCGCCCCACAUUCAAGUUGGUAGUAUAAACUAGUUGACGGAUACGCAUUUAAGCGAAUUGGCUUCUCUAAAGAAAAGUCUCAAAUAAGGGUGAUACCGACAUCUCAAGCACCAACACACAUGUAUUAGAUAAUAGACACAACACCAACAUGGAUACAUCAAAAUACGGCUGUCGCAGUGUAGUUUGGUUCGAUUUUAAGGUUAAAAGUUAUAUAAACUAUAAUAUAUAUAAGUUUGCGGUUUGGUUUAGUUCGGUUGACUUUUAAAAUAAAAUCCGAACUAAACCAAUGCGAUUUGGAUUGGAUCGGUUGGUGCGAUUUUUUAGACAAUAAUUUUUUUGUUUCCAACAUUAAAAUCAAAUUAAACAGCUAAAAAACAACAUAUUUUCAACAAUGUUUUAAAUUUCAUCCAACAUUACAAUUUUAUUUUCAUCCAACAAUGUUUCCAACUACGUAGACCAAAUUUAAAGCGGACAAAAAGUAAUCUUAUUUUCUAAGAAAUAUAAAAGACUAUAUUUUUUUUAUCAUUCUCUAAGAGUUUAAGCACUACAUAAAUACAUUUAGGAAAGAAAAAUCAAAGAAGAAACUUAACAAAGGAAAAAAUAUGUCAUUUUAUUAAAGUUUUCAUUGAGUUUCUAUGAGUAUUGAUCCAUGUAAUAUAUAUUUAAUUAGUGUUUUUCUUAUAUUGGGGUUUUGUUUGGUUCGGUUGGUAAAAUUAAAACCACAAACCGAACCAAACCAUGCGGUUGAGAAGAAAAUUGAUCCGAAUACAUCCAAACCAAACCAUGCGGUUGAGUAGAAAAUUGAUCCGAAUACAUCUAAACCAAAUGCGAUUUUUCGCAGUUUCGGUUUGGAUUGGUUCGAUUUGCGUUUUUUUAUUGGAUUGGUUCGGUUUUGAACACCACUAAAAAUACUAAUAAAUUAUUAUUAUAAACAUAAGUUGAUUGAAAAUAAUCGCAUGUAUUGGUAUUAUAUCCGAGUCUGACACAUAUCUGACAUCAAACACAUCUAUUAAAAGUGUCGGUCAGAAUUGUACGUAGGUUAAUACAAAACUAAUGACUUGUUACGAAUUCUGGUCACUUACAAAUAACCAUAUGAAUUUAUCACGUCAUCUUAAUUAGUUCCAUAGACUUCCCCACAAAAUAACGACAACAAAAAAUUCAAAUCUUGAACGUACUGAAUAAGUUAUAUAAUUAAGAAGGUUUCCUUUCCUUCACGUAGCUAAGCUAACUGACUAGUAUACAAAAUCAAUGGCGACUGAUUAACAUUAGUCUUGUAUGCAUUAGGCCAUCAUUCAACAAUAUAUGCGUUUUCACCAGAAAAAUUGGUUGGAAUUUAAAACCAUAGCAUUAAUUUUCCUUUGAGUGAUUGACGGGGCUCAGAGUCUCUUUAACCCUGCAAUUAGUACUAGGAAUAGUAUUUGUUUCUUCUUAUUAUUAUGCAUAUAAAUAUGGACUAACAGGUGGAAUAAAUAUAUCAAAGCUGCAUAUAUACUUGGUUUAUACUUUGGUAUAAUUCAUUCAAGCAAUACACUCUUUAAAAGAAACUCUUCGAUUGAUCAUGUCUAUCAUUUUUCUACUUGUUGGUUGGUAUACUGUCCAUUGGACUAAAAUUUACUUAAAAAUAAUUAUAUUAAUUUUUAGAGUAAUGAUACAUAGACACUAUUUAUUCUCAUACACCCCAUGCAUUAGGAAGAGAGAAGAGGAGAGAAAAGAGAAAGUGUGCUUGUGCGGGGUCCACGUGACUACGUGUCAGAUUUUUGUGAAGGUAUCAAAGGGUGUAUUGCCAUCUAAGGGUGUCUAUGUAUCAUUACUCUAAUUUUUAAUAAUAUAACUUUUUGAAAGGAUGUAAAGUGGCGAAGCUAAUCUAAUUUUUUUUAGGAAGUUAAGUAUAUAUUUUAAGGUGCAUCUAAUAUGGACCUCUUAAAAAUAGAAAAUAAAAAAUAAAUAUAAUAUUUUCUUAAAAUUUACUACUAAUAGCGAAGUCCACAUUUCGACCGGGUCCAAAGGCGAAUUACUUGUACAUGUGUGCAUCAUAACCACUAAAAUUUGUCUUUGCAACGACUCACACUUAGUUCGUUAUUGUUACGCAGUUGUGCAAUCCGUAGGAGUUUGCUAUGGAAUGCUUGGCAAUAAUCUACCAUCAAGGCAAGAAGUUGUGGAUUUAUAUAAGUCAAAUGGCAUUGACUAAAUGCGUAUAUACUUCCAAAGCAAGGAGCAACGUAGAUUGUGCCUUUUCCUCCAGAGUGACGAUAUCAGCAGGUAGAGGAUUUGAUGCAGGCUUUAACAAAGGUGUCUAUAGACCAUGCUGUUUAAGCAACACCCAAAUCUUAAUCUGCCACAAAAUAAAAUUAUUCCUCCUAGUGAACUUGUCGACUUUCAACAUUUUACCUUCAACUAUCGUUCCCGCCUGAACAUAUCCGAACCAGCUCUGGUACUAGUUUGUUAUAACGCGACGCGAGAAUAAUGACAAUAAUAUAUAGUAAAAGGCAGAAUGAAAACAACACGAGAUUUAACGUGGUAUCCAACAAUGUGAUGACUCAUCCACACACAAAGCCACGAAAAAGAAUUCUACUAUGAUCGAUAAUUACAAAUUAUAUGCUGAAUAGUAGAUGUAAUACCAACUAUAGCAAAACCACGAACUAUUGGUGCAAGAAAUUACUAACACACAAGGCCUUUAUUUAUAUGGCCAAGUCUUUGCAUAUUUUUUCAUAUAAUCCGAUGUGGGAUAUUUUCCCAACAUAAUUCAAGGAAUAUUUCAAAAAAAAACAAACAAAAGAAGACUAAAAAUAUGUGAAAAUCACUUGUUCAAUUGGACAUGAAGGAAAAACAAUUAGGAGGGUUGAUUUUGAGUCAAAAUUGAUCAUAAAUCACCCAUCUUUGGCAAAAUAUUAUUGGAUUUGUCACAAUGAAAUGAAAUUUUUAAAAUAUCAAAUUUUUAUAAGUUUUUAUUAUAAGUAAUUGAAGAUAGGAAAAUACUAACAAGUGCCCUCAUGAUAUUGUUUAAGCAUCUAAAAGUAGAAAAUAUUACAUAAAAAAAAUUGUGUAGUUAUAACUUUUACCUGUGUUUGACUUCUAUUUUCAAGACAAAAUUUCUUUUUGUGGGUUCCUUAGAUAAUGCUCUUAGGACACUUGUUAGUAAGACCCUUAAAAAUAUCAACGGUCAUAAUUUUUUUUUGGCAUAUGUGAAGUGGUUGACUACACAAGUAUUUAAGAACGAAGGAAGUAUAAUUAAUAGAUCAAGCCGGUAUCUCGAUGGGUUUGAUUGGUUUGUUGCAUGCAUGAUAAUGAAGUAAUACAUACAACAACUACUGCCUCCAUCCCUAAAUAUAAUACAAUUUUAAGUUUUUUUAAAUCUUUUUCAAAUUUCAAAGUGCAUUAAUUAUUUCUUUAUCAAUAUAUCAUAUUAAGUUACAUAUUUUUCUACAAUAUAUAAUAAUAAAUAUUUUAUGAAAACAUAAGUUAAUUCUCUCCCUAAAAGAUAAACUUGUAAAACAAUAGCAAUUGUCAACAAAAUUAAUACAACAAUUAAUUUUCUUAAUUGCAGUAUUUUUCUCAAAAUAAUCAUAUAUAUAGCGACAAUUGUAGCAUAUAGUAGAUUAGAGUAAUUUAAACUUGUUAGCAAAAAGUGAUUGGUUAGAUUUGAAAAAUCUUGUGGUUUUUGGAAUUAGAAAAAGUAUCUUAAAAAGAAAAAAUCACCAUUGAAGAGAAUAUUGAGUUGAGUCACGACCAUACUUUCUUUAUGACGUUUCACGACACUAUUCAAAUUUGUUCAAGGUAGACUAUCAACCGCGCCGCUUUUAGGAUUUAACAAUCUAAUUCCCAUGUUCGAUUACGUAUUGUACCGUAAGUAAUCGUUCGAAAAAUAACACCUUCAAUAUGGUAUAAAACCACUCUCAUAUGGUACAAAGACCACUCGAAACCGAAGGGACAUGGGAGGACCUGCACUAGAAGGCCCUUGGCAUAGGGCCUCAAACUUGAAGGGGCCUGAACAUUUGAAAAAAGGAAGAAAAAAAAAAAACUUGUACCUACGGACAAAAUCCGUCACUAAAUGUCAUUUUUCCGUAGGUAAAAGUCCAGAAAUCAACUAUUUUGCCAUUGAGUCCGUAGGUAAAUGUCUAUUUUUAUGUGGGUAAAAGUCAUGUUUGAACCAUUGCUCGUAUAUUUUACUAGAACGUAGAUGUUUGUCAUUUUAAGUGGUGUCGAAUUUAUUUCUUGCAAUACUUUUUAAAUUAAAAUUGUCAAGAUUACAACGUGGCCUCUGAAUUGUUGGAGACGUCCUUGCGAAGGGACAUAAGGAGUAGAAGAAAAGUAGAAAGACUCGUUAACUCAAGUCGAAAAGGGAAGAGAGAAUAAAAAUAUCAAAAGUAUCACAAUAUUUUUCGGUGUGCUGAUUAAAACUGUCAAGAUUACAACGUGGCCUCUGAAUUGUCGGAGACGACCUUGCGAAGGGACAUAAGGAGUAGAAGAAAAGAAGAAAGACUCGUCAACUCAAGUCGAAAAGGGAAGAGAGAAUAAAAAUAUCAAAAGUAUCACAAUAUUUUUCGGUGUGCUGAAUGAGUGAAGCGAGCUCUCCUUUUAUAGGGAGAUUUCGUAACGAAUCCGAAGCGACUUAAAUAUCACAAUGUUAGUGCUUUAUAUGUCAAAAUGGAGUAGUAAAUUUAAAAAUAAAAUAAAAAAUUGAUUGAAAAUAAUUGCAUAUAUUGAUGUUGUAUCGGAGUCUGACACAUAUCUGACAUCAAACACACUAUUGAUGUUAUAUCGAAGUCUGACACAAAUCUGACAUCAAACAUACCUUUUAGAAGUGUCACUCAGAAUUGUAGGUGAUACAAAACUAAUGACUUGUUACGAAUUCUGGUCACUUACAAAUAACCAUAUGAAUCUAUCACGUCAUCUUAAUUAGUGCCAUAGACUUCCCCAUAAAAUAACAACAACAAAAAAUUUCAAAUUUAGAACGUACUGAAUAAGUUAUAUAAUUAAGAAGGUUUCCUUUCCUUCACGUAGCUAAGCUAACUGACUAGUAUACAAAAUCAAUGGCGACUGAUUAACAUUAGUCUUGUAUGCAUUAGGCCAUCAUUCAACAAUAUAUGCGUUUUCACCAGAAAAAUUGGUUGGAAUUUAAAACCAUAGCAUUAAUUUUCCUUUGAGUGAUUGACGGGGCUCAGAGUCUCUUUAACCCUGCAAUUAGUACUAGGAAUAGUAUUUGUUUCUUCUUAUUAUUAUGCAUAUAAAUAUGGACUAGCAGGUGGAAUAAAGAUAUAUCAUAGCUGCAUACUUGGUUUAUACUUUGGUAUAAUUAAAGCAAUACAUUCUUAAAAAGAAACUCUUCGAUUGAUCAUGUCUAUCAUUUUUCUGCUUGUUGGUAUAUUGUCCAUUGGACUAAAAUUUACAGGUCUGUAUUGCAUUAUAUUUUGAAUAUUUCUUUUACUUUUCAUGAUAUGUUUAAGAAUGCUAACUAGAGCAUGCAUCAUUGUCAACAGAUUAUAAUAAUAUUCAAAUAAUGUAAGCAUCAACAUAUUUGUUUGCAUAUGUCUCUAUUGUUAAAGCCUAAUGAUUUGCUUAAUUAUAUGUAUAUGCACUCUCUUUUUUAUGAACAUAUCUCUACCCUACUCUAUACAUAUUUUUACAAGUAUUGUUAUAUGUGUGUUUUAUAAUUAUUUUGAAUAUGUGUGUUAUAAACUAUUUUAUGUUGAAAAAAUUAAUUAAUUUUUACUUAAAAAAUAGUUAUUUAUUAAUUAACUUUUAGUAUAUAUACAUUUUUUAAAGGUUGUGUAGUGGCGAAGCUAAUCUAUUUUUUUUUCUGAUGGAGCUAAAUAUAUAUUUUAAGGAUGCAUCCCUCACAUCUAAGUGGACCGUUACCAUAUUCUGUAUAUUUACUAUAAAAACAAAAAUUAGCGAUGGAAAUUUAGUGAGGAAAAACAUAAAAUCUCUAUCUAAUUCUGUCACUAAAUUUUGAAACCAAAGAAUUUGUGAGAGAUUUUAUUUUUUCCGUCAAUAAUUUCCCUCCCUAGUUUUGUUUUUCCUAGUAGUAAAAUCAUGUUUUUGUUUAUCAAGAAUAAUAAAUUUGAUAUUAAUAAAAAAAUAAACAAUAAAUAUAAUAUUUUCUUAAAAUUUUCUAUUAAUAGUUUAGUCCACAUUUGGACAGGGUCGAAAAGUGAAUUAAACCAAGUAAGUUAAUAAAAAUAUAAAAUAUUUAGGAAAAUGAUGUCAUCAUAUUGAUGUUUUGUUAUUAUUGUAUUGUAUCAAUUCUUUGUCAUUUUUUUUUGUAUUUAUUCGUAUUAUAUAUUGUAUAUAUUACUUAUAUGAUCAUCAUAUAUAUUUUAGUCCUAUAAAAUUACAACUUUUGAGUUUAGUCUUUACAUAAAUUUGUCCAAUUUUAUUUCUAUUUUGAACCUUUUUUAAAAAAAAAAAAAAACUACAUAAAUUUGUCCAAUUUUAUUUCUAUUUUGAUCUCUUUUUUUUUUUUAAAAAAACGAGUGUUAGUUUUGUAUUUAUUCUUUUAAAUAGAAAAUAAAAUGUAACAAAAUUUAUGUAUGGGUAUAUCAUAUUUCUAGGUAGCCAUACACCUACCUCAUAAGUGUGAGGCCUCACCUUAGGGAUGUGUAACUUCAAUAAAAUAAGGUCCAAAUCAUUAUGUCUACCUUUCAAGGGACACAAUAAAUUGUCAAUUAUGAGAGUUCACAUUAUAAUAUUUUACGGUGUAAGUGAAAUCUUCAAAACUAAAAAUAUAUCUUGAUUGCAAUUCCAUUUUUGUCAACCGACAUUUUGCUCAAGGGAAUGCAAAUUUCCGUAGAGGUUUGUUAUAUGAACUAUUUGCGGGACAAUUGACCAAACGAUCAAAGACAUACAAAGAAAAGUAUGUAUUGUCGUCGUAUCGAUACAAAAUCAAACUAAUAAAAAGAACAUAAUAUAAGUUUGAGAUAGAAAAUAGUUACAAAAUGAUAGAAUCAAGUGUUAUUAGAAAUGGAAUCUUAUUUGUCAUUUGUGUAUCUACAUUUUUUUACUUUGACACAAUUGUGUUUAUAUCCGAGUAGAUAGAAUCACAAAUAUUAUCAUCGUGAACUUAGCUCAAUUUGUUCCAUUGAUAGGGAUAAUGUGUAAUAUAUAUAAGGUCUGGGGUUCAAACAUCGACCGGAUAAAAAUCACAAAUAUUAAAAAAUAACUAUUUUCUUCAAAUUUGAAGUCCAGUUCACUUUGGAAAAUUCUUUUAUAUUGUAAUUUAAUUUAAUGACUUACAAUUCUGAAUUUGUAGGUUACUUGUAUUAUAGGUUAGGACGAUGAAAAAGUAUAAAUUAAGAUUGAGGUUCAAUGUCCAACAAACUAACCAUCAACCUCUCAAGCAAGUGUAUUUAUAAAGAGUAAUGAUACAUAGACACCCUUAGGUGGCAAUACACCAUUUGACAUCCACACAAAAAUCUAACACGUAGUCACGUGGACCCCACACAAGCACACUUUCUCUUUCCUCUCCUCUUCUCUCUUCCUAGUGCAUGGGGUGUACAAGAGUGUAUGGGAAUAAAGGGUGUCUAUGUAACAUUUUCCUUUAUAAAAAGGUUAAGUACUUGUAGUGGUACAAGUAUGAUACUUUUUUUGGUACGAUCUACUUUUUUAGUUCUUUCGUUGUGAGUGAAGUUUGUGGAUUUUUGAUGUAUUAAUAUGAUAUUAUUUGUGUGUGUAUUUUUUUUUGUGGUGGCCGAGGUUUGAACCCUGGACCUUACAUAUUUAUUUUAAACCAUGUAUCUUAUUUUCCACAUUGUUACCUUAUUCGUACAUGUGCAUCAUAAACCCUAAAAUUUUGACGUUUGCAACAACUCACUUAGUUCGUUAUUAUUUACGCAGUUGUGCAAUCCGUAGGAGUUUGCUAUGGAGUGCUUGGCAAUAAUCUACCAUCAAGUCAAGAAGUUGUGGACUUAUAUAAGUCAAAUGGCAUUGACAAAAUGCGUAUAUACUUCCCAGACGAACAAGCCCUUCAAGCCCUUAAAGGUUCCAACAUAGAAUUGAUCCUUGAUGUGGCCAAGGAAACCCUAUCUUCUCUUACAGAUGGCAAUGAAGCUACAAAUUGGGUCCAAAAAUAUGUGACACCAUAUGCUCAAGAUGUAAAAAUCAAGUACAUCACUGUUGGAAAUGAAAUUAAACCUAAUGACAAUGAAGCCCAAUACAUUGCCACUGCCAUGCAAAACAUUCAAAAUGCAAUUUCAUCAGCAAAUUUACAAGGCCAAAUCAAGGUCUCAACAGCAAUUGACAUGACUUUGAUUGGUACUUCAUAUCCACCCAAUGAUGGUGCUUUCACUGACCAAGCAAAGCAAUAUUUACAGCCAAUAAUAGACUUCCUAAAGAACAAUGGAGCACCACUUCUUGCCAAUGUGUAUCCGUACUUCGCUUAUAUCGGUAAUAAGCAAAGCAUUUCUCUUGACUAUGCUCUUUUUAAACAACAAGGAAACAAUGAUGUUGGGUACCAAAACCUCUUUGAUGCCCAAUUAGACUCAGUAUAUGCUGCUCUUGAGAAAGUUGGGGGUACCGAUGUGAAGAUAGUUGUGUCCGAGAGUGGAUGGCCAUCUGAUGGUGGAGAUAGUGCCUCAACUGAUAAUGCUUCCACAUAUUAUCAAAAUUUGAUCAAUCACGUCAAGAAUGGGACUCCUAAGAGACCCGGAGCAAUUGAGACAUACUUGUUUGCCAUGUUUGAUGAAAAUCAGAAGACUGGUGCAGCAACUGAACAACAUUUUGGUCUCUUUAAUCCUGACAAAUCAUCUAAAUAUCAAACAAGUUUCAAUUGAAUAAAUUGAUAAUUUAAAAAAGAUAUGCAGCUAAAUAUAGUUUACUAUGAAUAAUUGUGCCAUGUGUGCACAUGUUAUUUCCAUCUUUCUUUUUUUUUUUGACAGAAUUUCCAUCUUUCUAUGUAUGUCAUGAAUUAAAUAAAUGAAACAUCAUAUCAUAUAUUGUUACUUAUGUAAUUCCACCAUUAUAUUUUAGUUUGUGUUUAAUGUCAUAUUGGAAGACAUCAAACUUAUAUAGUAUGCUAACAAUAAAGGCACAACUCUAGCAAAAUUUGCAACAUAAGUAGGCUUGAUGGACACAAAUGAAGCAGAAUAUUAACCUUUGGUGUUUGGUCUUGAGUUAUCAAUUGAUUGUGUAUAGUUAAAAUAGGGAAAAGUAAUAGUAGAACACGCUCUAAAUUAAGUGGCCCUCGCAUGGGUGAAUGGUGAUUAUUUGUCCAUGGAGUUUGAGAUUCUUUGUGAAUAAAUUGAAAACCAAAUUGUUGGUGUUGAAAAAUGUUUCUUUUGUGCAUAGGAAUAUAGAAGUGAAAUUUCAUUAUAUAUUUGGCAAAAGAAUGAUCCUCUUUGGAAUUUAGGUGAGUGAAGUGGUGUUGUAAAAUUUGUGAUAUUUGGAAGGGUUGAUUGUGUACUAAUGAUCUCAAGGUCAAGGGAUGGCUCUUUAAGUAUAGCAUUGGAAUUGAAAUUUUGGGUGUCAUGAAGGUGGGGGAGUAGUGCAUUAGUGUUUUAAAGUUGUUAGAUUUAUUUUGGCUUCGUAGUUUUGUCUUUGUAGUGCACUAGGGCCUUCGAUUUAGUUCCUUGACUGCUACAGGUGUUGUUCAUAAUCUGAUAUGCAUUGAACUAUAUUAAUGAUUUGAUUUAGUAGUGUGUCUGUUAAUUUUAUGGAAAUUGCUCUUCUCUCGAUCAAAAUUGCUUGUUCCCACAUAAACAACCGAAAAUUCCCCAACGUGAGUGAACACUUGUUCGGUAAAAUCAGCGUAAGUUAACUGACAUUCGAUAACAACCAACGUGAUUUAAAUGUCGUUGAAAAAAAAUUACCCCAUGGGACUUAAGUCAUGCUACUUAAUUCUUGUCGAUGUACGUGCAGUAAUUGUGGAUGGUACUUACCAAGUUACCAUGAUGUGGAUUCAAGUGUGUUGGCUUUCAGUUGGCAGCAAGACGAGUUUUUCAAGAAGGAAUAAGAAAAGCCGGACCGAAAAUGCUUGAACCUAUAUAAAGAGUUGGGACCAAACCAUUACUAGAAUUUCUCGUUUUACCUGCAGAUUUACCCUCAAAAAAUUCCACAGGAGUUUCUGAGGAUUUUGCUGCGAUCUUGUUGAUCUGGACAACGUACUUCCGGAUCUAGAAACGGCAUGCAACUCCGCAGGUAAUGAAUCCAUUUGCUGGGGUUUUCCUGCGGAAGCUAUUUUCUUUUUUACCCAAUGAAUCCUUGGGAAAUUCCACAGAUAUUCCAGCGGAUUUACCUGCAGAUUUUCGUUUGACCUGCAGAUUUACCUACAGAUAUUCCUGCGGAUUUACAGCUGCAUUUCUUUAGAUUCUUUUCUUCUUUAAAUUUUAAAAUUGUAAGAUUAUGAAUUUCUUUAUUUUUAUUCUUUUGAUAUUGAAUAUGGAACCUAAAUCUUUAGAAAAAUCCGCAGGAAACAGUUUUGCCUUGGAUUUUCACCAUUAUCCGCAGGAAGAUCAAGAGUUUCUGGCAGUAAACAUCAGAUUCCCCAUUUCAAUCCAAGUUGAAAAAUAAACUACACACAAGCUCAUGCAUGUGCUAAAUUACCAAUUAUGAAAACAAAAUUAAUCCGAAAGAAAAGCAUGAAAGAACUGAAACCAUAUUGAAUGGGAUGAAGAACAAGAAGCUACCUCGAAUGAAGGGGUUGGAGACCAACACAAUAAACUUAAUGAACGAAGGUUGCCAAAGUCUGGGUGCAGGGAGACUGGAUCAAAAGAAAGAAUGGUCAUGCAUGAUCGCACAAAGAGAAGAGCAGCCAUAAGAGAGGCCUAUAUCGUCAGAGAUGGUGAGACAACAUGAAAUCUAUUUGGGGGCUAAAUUUCAGUCAAUGAGUCGAAGAAACUUGGGUAUAGGGUUCACUCGCGUUGAAGAAGUAAUUUUAGGUUAUUUGUAUUAUUGUUUUUCAAAAAUUUGGAAGCUGAUUUAUAUUUUAACGUUCUUUUAUAAAGUUUGAGUAAAAAGAUGAUUUUGGUUAAAGAUUAUAAACCAGUUCUCUUAAUAAAGUUUGGUAAUUGACUUUUGAAAAUUUAUGGUUCAGUUCAUGAACCAUUUAAUUGGUUUGGUCUCUUAUAGUUCAGUGUGGUUCAUUUUACUCAUAUAGUUCAUUGAAUUAGUAUAUUUCGCUCACCCGGACUUCAAUCUAUAUUUAUACCCCUCCUUUGCUUUUGGUAUUAUCUUUUGAUAACAGUUGCGAAGUUUGGUGUGAUAUGAUCAAUCAGUUCUAUGAUCAUUGUCUUCUGAUAGUAGGGUUCUCAAUAUGCUUCUACUUUACGCCUGGAAAGUUGAAUGAUGAAGGUGUAGUUUAGAAAAGGGGGUUGGCUCAUAGUAAUGGACUAUGGUGAUGGUUUCAUAUGGUAAUAAAGAUGAUGAGUUUACACGGUUCUUAAAAAUGAACAAGAGUUAUGGUGUGCUAGUUACGUUUAUGAGCUAAAUCUUAGUUGUUUGUUGAUUGUUUGUGGUUAGAGGAGAUAGAUGUAUGAAGUGAUGGUGGAGACCCCUUUCUUUGGUUAUGUCUUCUCCUUUCUUUAGUUCUCCCCUCUUUUUAUUCCCUUCUCUUGCUUUGGUUUUGAUUUUGUUGUUGAUAUUUAUACUUAAAAAAUUAGGUUUUUGUUUUUUAUUUUGAUUUUGUUGUUGAUAUUUAUACAAAAAAUAUAAGGUUAAGUUCUUUACUGAAUGAUGCCAAAUUAAAAUUGUACAUGUUACUUACAUGGAAAUGGGAAAAAGGAAAAGAAAUGAAGAAAGAUACUUUUUUUUUUUUUGUCAGGGUUUGAACCUCCGGACCUUGCAUAUAUUAUGCAUUAUUUCUAUCAAAGCUAACCUCACGAAGACAAAUUGAAGAAAGAUGUUUGAUGGCAUACUCAACAUGCUUACAGUCCAAUUUUUGUCUUUUAAGAGGAAAAUUUUAAAGACAAGGAUAAAGAAAUUUAUCUUUUGACCAAAAUGGAAGAGAUAGUUUCACGCCACCAUCGUUGUGAAGAAAAGGAUAAAGAAAUUUAACUUUUAAAAAGGAUGUUUCAUAUUGAGUCAUGUAAUUUAAUUUUCUGAAAUCAAGCAAUUAUUUGGCGUCUUUAAUGUAAUUCACUACAAAAUCAUGUAAUUUGACAAAGCAAACCACCUUAUGAAGAAUAAUUGAGAAGACAAUGGAUAAAUAUUUAAGAGGCCUCUAGAGACAUUAAAAAGUACAUAAAUUUUGUUUCUAGUCCCAAGACAAGUUUUAAAGAAGAAAAUACUCAAAAAGGCAAAGAAAAAGGCAAAAAUGUGUUAGGAGAAGGUGUUGUGCGCCCCAUGUGUGCAAAACAGUGCAUAAAAUGCACUCUUUCGGGCACCACGCACGAGGAGCAUUCUUCCACGCAUGGUCCCUUGCGCUCUCGGGAGUUUUCAGUUACGGGUAUGGGGAAAUGGGGUAGAUUUUCAACCCAAACUCACUCAGAAUUCAACAUGUAAAUACAGCUCCUCUCAUUCACAAUUAUUCAUUCAAAACGAAGCGGUUCAAGAGGAAGGUAAGUAUUAGGAGCAUCAAGGGAGAAGUUUCUCAUCAACCUUCUUCUCUCUAUAGUAUGUUAUGUUUCUUUUGUAAUUUAUAUUUAGUUACCAUGAGUAACUAAGUCCUAAUUGUGUAGGAUUCUAAUAUGAACCUUUGUUUGUUUAUUGGAUCUUUUUAAUUCAAGUAUUUUAUUCAGUUAACUUAGAUAUAAUCUUUUUAUGGAAAUGUCAUAAUGCUUUUCUGAAGAUAAUUUUACUUACUACUUCGUUACUUGAAAAUGAAAUAAUGCACUUGUCAAAUUUGAUCAUCAAUAUUGAGCCACUUAAUAUAUUAUAUUAAAAAUAAAUGAAUUUUAUUAAAAUCCUAUGACAUGGAAUUACUAGUGGAAUCUUUUCUGUAAGCAAAUUUUUUAACUUUUUUAACGAGUAAAUAGUCAAUUUCCCCUCUGAAAUUGUAAGUUUCAUCAAUUACCUUCCUGAAAUUAACAAAAUUUAAAUUACCUCCCUGAAAUUUCACGUUAGUCAAUUUACCCCCUCCGUCAAAUUUUUCUGUUAGUGAACAUGACGUUUUGCAAAUACCCCCCUGAAGUUUUGCACUUAUGUGCAAAAUGCCCCAAAACUUAAAAAUUUAUAUUAUUUUUUAAAAAAACAAACAAUUAAUAGUUAAAUAUUAAAACUAACUAUUAAUUUUGGAAUUUGGGAAAACUACAUGCAUAUAUACAUCAAAAUAGGCUCCAAAAUGAGAAAAAAAUAUGUAUUUUUUAAAGUGACAAUAAUGGGAUGAUUUGUAGAUUAAUAUUGGGGGUUGUGUAGUUUAAAUGGUUUGAGAAAAUUGUUGAAGGAGUUGGAGGAGUUAAAAGACUAAGAUGAUGAAGGAGAAAAUAUAAAUUUAAAUCUGAUUAUUAAUUUGUUUAUAAACCUCUAAAAAUAAUAAUUUGUCUAUUAGAAAUAACCAUUAUUGUCACUUUAAAAAUACACAUUUUUCCCUAUUUUGAUGUAUAUAUGUAUGUAGUUUUUCCAAACUCCAAAAUUAAUAGUUAGCUUUAAUAUUUAACUAUUAAUUGUUUGUUUUUAAGAAAAAAAUAAUAUAAAUUUUUAAGUUUGGGGGGCAUUUUGCACAUAAGUGCAAAACUUCAGGGGGUAUUUGCAAAACGUCAUGUUCACUAACAGAAAAAUUUGACGGAGGGGGUAAAUUGACUAACGUUGUGAAAUUUCAGGGGGUAACUGAAGUUUUGUUAAUUUCAGGGGGGUAAUUGAUGAAACUUACAAUUUCAAGGGGGAAAUUGACUAUUUACUCUUUUUUUAACAUUAAAAAGUUAAAAAAAUGUAUGAUGUGGAGACACCCUAUAUUUUAGGGUUAAUUAAGUUUUUGGUCCCUAUAAAUAUCUGCAGUUUUGUAUUUAGUCUUUAUAAAAAUAAAUCAUACUUUUUAGUCCCAACAAAAUUUUCUGUUAGUGUUUUUAGUCCCUGUUAAAUUAAAAUUUGUUUAAUUAUGCUUAAACUUCUAAAUUUUUGAAAGAUUUUUUACAUACAUGUUCAUAACAUCGUAAGACACUCUUUUAUAAAAAAAUUUAGUUUUUUAACAUGUAAUGAAUUAAAUAUGAAUUUUUCUAAAAGUCCAAUUUUCAAGAUUAUAUUAAUGAAAAUUUGGACCUAAUAAUAAAAUUUUAAGUUACUUUUCUGCGGGGGAAUUUUGUAUAAUAUUCUAAGUAAGUAUGUGAAAAAUUUGUUACAAAUUAAAAAGUUUAAGCACAAUUAAGCAUAUUUUAAUUUUACAACGACUAAAAGUAUGUGUUGGUCCCUAUUAAAUUGAAAUUUGUUUAAUUAUACUUAAACUUUUAUAUUUUUAAAUGAUUUUUAACAGAUAAGAACAUUAUAAUAAUUUCUUUUAUAAAAAACUAGAAUUUUUUAACAUGUAAUGAAUUAAAUAUAAUUUUUUUUAAACACCAAAAAUUCAAGAUAAAACUAACGAAAAUUUGGACCUAAAAAUAAAAUUUUGAGCUAAUUUAUUGUGGCGGAACCUUUUAUAAUGUUUUAAACAAGUAUGUAAAAAAUCAUUAAAAAAUUAAAAUUUUAAGCAUAAUUAAACAAUUUUUAAUUUAACAGAGACUAAAAACACUAACGGAAAAUUUUAUAAAGACUAAAAAGUAUAAUUUAUUUUAUAGGGAUUAAAAAUAAAACUGCAGAUAUUUAUAAGGAUAAAAAACUUAAUUAACCCUAUAUUUUAUAACAUUUCCUUAGCUAAGCUGACUAACAUAUGCAGCCGGCAAAUUUGUCUUGUAUGCAUUAUUAAUUAGGCCAUCAAUCAUUAAUAUAUGUGUUUUCGUUUUACCCAAAACAAGUGGUUGGAAUUCGAAAACAAUGCAUAGCCCUCAAUUUCCUUUGAGUGAUUGACGGGGCUAAAAGUCUUCCUUAUUAGAAGACCACCCUUUACUGUAGUCAAUACAAAGCAGUAGUAUUUGUUCUUUUAAUUAUGCAUAGUAUAACUAUGGACUAGAAGAAGGUAUAAGAGAUUCAGAGUUGCAUACUUGGUUUAUAUUUUAGUAUAAUUCAUCAAGCAAUACAUUCUUUAAGAGAAACUCUUCCAUCGAUCAUGUCUAUCAUUUUUCUGCUUGUUGGUAUACUUCUAUCCAUUGGACUACAAUUUACAGGUCAAUAAUAGUUCUCUCCCAAUAUUAAUAUUAUUGUAUACUUUUUGUAUUGCAUUUUAUUACUUUGAAUUACUUCUUUUGUUAUUCAUUAUUCAGUAAUAUGUUAAAUUAAAAGGCUACUAGAGUCUAUGGCAUCAAUGUCAACAGAGAGAGUUUAACUAAGGAUAAAAAUACCAGAAAAAACCCAAAAUCAUCACAAAUUCAAAAACCUCAAAUCCCAAAACCAAAACCAAAGAAAAUAGAAAUUGUUUUUGAAACCCACAAUGAUUUUAGUGUUCUUUUUUAUUGGGCUUGGAUGAAGAUCUGGAUUGGUUAGGAUAGAACCAAGGUUAGAUUGAAAUAAAUAAAUAAAUAAAUAGGUUUAAUUGCAGUUUUGGCCCUCUAAGUAUCACAAUCUUCUAAUUUUGAUCCCCUAUAAAAAAUAUUAACAAAUCAGCCCUCUUAAGUUUACAUCAUUUUGCACUUUUGAUUCUCCGAACCAAUUUUGACCAAGUUAAUGCAUAUGUGGCACCCACAUCAACAAUUUAGGUUCUUUUAAUAGUUUUACUAUAGUUUGUCUAGAUCUUCUCUUGUCCUUAUUAUUUUAAGGGUUAAUAGGUCUUUACCCCCUGUAAUAUAGGACACUUUUGGUUUUACCCGCUGUAAAUUUAUUUUUUUAGAUUCCGUCCUUGUAAAAUGAAGAUUCUUCAAGAUUGCCCCCUGAGCCCUGUGACUCAGCAGAAUCUAUGAUGUGGCAUCUUUUUUUAUUUAUCAUUUUUUUUUGGAUGCCAAGUGUAUUUACAUGUCAUUUAAAAUUAAAAAAAAAAUAAAAAAAUCAAUUUUUUUUAAAUAACGAAAAAUAAUUUAAAAAUCAGAAAAAAAAAAUAGAAUUUUUUUUCAAAAAUUUAAAAAAUUGAAUUUUUUUUUUAAAUAAAGUUCCAGAUUUUUUUUUAAAAUACUUCCUAAUUCCAUAUUCUUUUUAAAAAAUUUAAAAAUUCAGAUUUUAAAAAAAAAAUUAAGUUCCGGAUUUUUGUUAAAAUCAGAAAAAACAUGCAGAUUUUUUUAAUUUAAUUUUUAAAAUAAAAAAAAAUAUUUUAUAUUUCAAAAUCUUUAUUCCAGAAAUUUUAUAAAUUCUUUUUUGAAAUUAAAUAAUUAGAAAAAAAAUUAGAUAAUACUUUUUUUUUUCCAAAUUUUAUAAUUUUAAUUUAAUUCGGAUUAUUUUUUAAAUUUAGUAUAAUUUUUUUGGAAAAUUUGGAAAUAUAUUAAGUUCGAGAAUGGAAACGGUAUACCAUAUGGAUUUUCCUGUCAUUGAUGAGAAAUAUAUUAAGUUAGCAUUUAGAAAAAAUUUCAAAAAAUAUAUUCCUGAAUUUUUACGAAUUUAUUUUUUAUUUAAAAAAAUAAAAAUAAAAUCUUUUUUUUCUGAAAUUAGGAAGUAUUUUAAAAAAAAAAAACUGGAUUUUAUAAAAAAUUUCAAAAACAAAUCAGAAUUUUUUCUAAAUUUAAAAUUUUCAAAAAUAUCUGAAGUUAAGAUUUUAAAAAUUUAAAUAAAAUCAAAUUUUUUUUUCAGAUUAAAUAGUUGGAAUUUAAAAACAUUUAUAUCCAAAUUUUUAAAAUUAAAAUAUUUUCCAGAAUUUUUAUUCUUUGUACAAAAAAUUAAAAAAACUUUUUUAUUUCGAAAAAAAUCUGAAUGUUUUUUAAUUUCGAAAAAGAUAAGACAAUUUUCUAUUUCGGAAAAAAAUCUAAAUGUUUUUUAAUUUUUGGAAAAAAAAAUCUAAUUUUUUCUCAAUUUAAAAAAAUAGUUUGAAUUUUUUCAGAUUUUUUAAAAUUUUGGAAAUUAAUUUUUAGAUUUUUUAAAAUAUGAUUUUCGUUUUUUUUGAAAUUUUAUUUUUUACUUUAAUUUUUUUAAAUAAAAAUGACGUGUAAAUUAUUUUUUACACGUGGCAAGCAAAAAAAAUUAAAAAAUAAAAAGAAAAAGCCAUGUAGGUGCCACAUCAUAGAUUCUGCUGAGUCACAGGGCUCAGGGGGCAAUCUUGAAGAAUCUUUAUUUUACAAGGACGAAAUCUAAAAAAAAAAAUUUACAGGGGGCAAAACCAAAAGUUCCCUAUAUUACAGGGGGGUAAAGACCUAUUAACCCUUGUUUUAACUAUCAUUUAUCUGAUCUAUUUUUCUUUCUAUAGAAUCUACAAAUCUCCAUUUUACUUGCUCAGACCACAUAAGUCAAGUUUCUGUCACCUUUUCUACGAUAGGUACAACUUCUACUCUUUCUUUAAUAUUAUCAUUUCUAAUUCUAUAAUUACGGGUCUUACCAUACAUUCAAUGUCUUCUCCCACGAGAAUGUGAUGAGUAACUUAAAUAAAUUAAGGUUGAAACGAUUAUUGCUCGAUUUUUUUCUAGUUGCACCCCAAAGUGACUAAAACAUCCUUAAUUCAUUUUUUGAAAUUUUCAAUCAUUUCCAUUUAUCUUACACGUUUUACGAUUAAAAUGUUGCAUUACAUCAAAAUAAGAGUACAUAUCAUGUACAAAUUGCUAAUUUUAGCAUUAGCAUGUUGCAUUAUAUCAAAAUAAGAAAUAUAUCAUGCAUAAGUAAGAAACAUAUCAUGCUGAGUAUUGGGUUAUAUUGAGAUUGAGUUUCUUAUGUUGCAGUUCGGUUUGGUUCGGUUGUUCAAAUAAAAACAGCAAACCGAACCGCUCGGUUGAAUCCCCAUGAGGUUAUCUCAAUUAGCAUGGGCAUUUGCAUUAUGUAUGCAGAGGUCGGAGGUUCGAAUCUCAGACACCCGAUUUAUUCACCUGAAGUAGUGUGAAUUUUUAGCCGUUAGACUACUUGAAAAAAAAAAAAACGUUUUUUUAGAGGAUUUAAGUUUCUGAAUGUGUAGCCUAAUGGUAUAAUGGGUUAUGACACUGAAAUAGUAUGAAGAAUGAGGUUGGCGUUUAAUUUGCCCCGUAACAGACUAAAAUUUGUAUUUUUUUUGUUAAAAGAAAUUGGAAUGAUUUACAAUUAGUUCAUUAUUACACAAUACACAGGCGUUUGCUAUGGAGUGCUUGGCAAUAAUCUACCAUCAAAGCAAGAAGUUGUAGAUUUAUAUAAAUCAAAAGGCAUUGGCAAAAUGCGUAUAUACUACCCAGAUCAAGAAGUCCUACAAGCCCUUAGAGGUUCUAACAUUGAAUUGAUCCUUGGUGUGACCAAGGAAACCCUUUCCUCUCUUACAGAUGCCGGUGAAGCUACAAAUUGGGUCCAAAAGUAUGUGACACCCUAUGCUCAAGAUGUAAAAAUCAAGUACAUCACUGUUGGAAAUGAAAUUAAACCUAAUGACAAUGAAGCCCAAUACAUUGCCACUGCCAUGCAGAACAUUCAAAAUGCAAUUUCAUCUGCAAAUUUACAAGGCCAAAUCAAGGUCUCAACAGCAAUUGACAUGACUUUGAUUGGUAAUUCAUAUCCACCCAAUGCUGGAGUUUUCACUGAUCAAGCAAAUUCUUAUAUACAACCAAUAAUUAACUUCCUGGUGAAGAAUGGAGCACCACUUCUUGCCAAUGUGUAUCCGUACUUCGCUUAUAUUGGUAAUAAACAAAGCAUUUCUCUUGACUAUGUUCUUUUUAAACAACAAGGAAACAAUGAAGUUGGGUACAACAACAUCUUUGAUGCCAUGUUAGAUUCAGUAUACGCUGCUCUUGAGAAAGUUGGAGGUUCCAAUGUGAAGAUAGUUGUGUCCGAGAGUGGAUGGCCGUCUAAAGGAGGAGAUAGUGCCUCAAUUGACAAUGCUGCCACAUAUUAUUCUAAUUUGAUCAAUCACAUCAAGAAUGGUACUCCUAAGAGGCCCGGUGCUGCUAUUGAAACUUAUUUGUUUGCCAUGUUUGAUGAAAAUCAGAAGACUGGUGCAAC
This 25852-nucleotide long non-coding RNA is filed under the name Medicago truncatula (barrel medic). RNAcentral describes it as "long non-coding RNA (MTRU_LNC002043)". The record is from RNAcentral. Lineage: Eukaryota; Viridiplantae; Streptophyta; Magnoliopsida; Fabales; Fabaceae.